This 253-nucleotide ribosomal RNA is filed under the name uncultured bacterium. RNAcentral's name for it is "partial 16S ribosomal RNA". It matches the Rfam family "Bacterial small subunit ribosomal RNA", at positions 524 to 776 of the family's 1533-position model. The record is from RNAcentral.
UACGGAGGGGGCGAGCGUUAUUCGGAAUUAUUGGGCGUAAAGGGCGCGUAGGCGGCUUGGCAAGUCAAAGGUGAAAUCCCUCGGCUCAACUGAGGAACUGCCUUUGAAACUGCCUGGCUUGAGGCCGGGAGGGGGUAGCGGAAUUCCCAGUGUAGCGGUGAAAUGCGUAGAUAUUGGGAGGAACACCGGUGGCGAAGGCGGCUCUCUGGACCGGUACUGACGCUGAUCUGCGAAAGCUAGGGGAGCAAACGGG